UACAGAGGUCUCAAGCGUUGUUCGGAUUCAUUGGGCGUAAAGCGCACGUAGGCGGAUUGCUAAGUCAGGGGUGAAAUCCUGGAGCUCAACUCCAGAACUGCCUUUGAUACUGGCGGUCUCGAGUCCGGGAGAGGUGAGUGGAACUGCGAGUGUAGAGGUGAAAUUCGUAGAUAUUCGCAAGAACACCAGUGGCGAAGGCGGCUCACUGGCCCGGUACUGACGCUGAGGUGCGAAAGCGUGGGGAGCAAACAGG
RNAcentral lists this ribosomal RNA (253 nucleotides) under uncultured bacterium. Its description in RNAcentral is "partial 16S ribosomal RNA". It matches the Rfam family "Bacterial small subunit ribosomal RNA", at positions 524 to 776 of the family's 1533-position model. The record is from RNAcentral.